Molecule: ribosomal RNA, 253 nt
Filed under: uncultured bacterium
Lineage: Bacteria
Description: partial 16S ribosomal RNA
Rfam family: Bacterial small subunit ribosomal RNA
Source: RNAcentral
UACGGAGGGUGCAAGCGUUAUCCGGAUUCACUGGGUUUAAAGGGUGCGUAGACGGGCAGGUAAGUCCGUGGUGAAAUCUCUGAGCUUAACUCAGAAACUGCCAUGGAUACUAUUUGUCUUGAAUAUUGUGGAGGUAAGCGGAAUAUGUCAUGUAGCGGUGAAAUGCUUAGAUAUGACAUAGAACACCAAUUGCGAAGGCAGCUUACUACACAGUUAUUGACGCUGAGGCACGAAAGCGUGGGGAUCAAACAGG